This 168-nucleotide ribosomal RNA is filed under the name Eviota prasites (hairfin pygmy goby). Its description in RNAcentral is "partial 12S rRNA". Lineage: Eukaryota; Metazoa; Chordata; Actinopteri; Gobiiformes; Gobiidae. The record is from RNAcentral.
CGCCGCGGUUAAACGGGCGGGCCCAAGUUGACCUAAUUUCGGCGUAAAGGGUGGUUAAUAGUAGACGCGCUAAAGCCGAACGUCUUCGAAGCUGUGAUACGCCCCGAAGAUAGGAAGCCCUUUCACGAAAGUAGCUUUAAGCAUUAUGACCCCACGAAAGCUAGGAGA